This is a long non-coding RNA of Trematomus bernacchii (emerald rockcod), 231 nucleotides long. RefSeq lists it as uncharacterized. The transcript has 3 exons. NCBI's taxonomy places the organism in Eukaryota, Metazoa, Chordata, Actinopteri, Perciformes, Nototheniidae. The record is from RefSeq and is a predicted model, not a curated record.
UGUGCAUAGCUGUACUGAAUCGGAACAGCAAUGGCACAAGCCGCGAACAAUGGGUGUGAAGCCAGGGCCCAUCAACUCCAUGGUCUUCACCAAGCCUGUACCAAAUAGGAUGGUGCAGACUGGAGUAAGGAGUGGAUUCUACAGAGGCAUGGUGGGGCCAUUACCAGAUCCCUGCCUGUUCAGAGUUACGGAGGCAUACUCAGCAUUCAGCAUUGAAGACAGACCGCUUGU